CAGCAGUUCAAGUUGCAUCCCUUUUUAUUGGGUCUAAAGUGUCCGUAGCUGGAUUCGAAAGUCUUCUGUGAAAUCGUUGAGCUUAACUUAACGCAUUGCAGGAGAUACUCCGAAUCUUGAGACCGGGAGGGGCUAGAGGUAUUCCUAGGGUAGCGGUAAAAUGCGAUAAUCCUGGGAGGACCACCUGUGGCGAAGGCGUCUAGCUAGAACGGGUCUGACAGUGAGGGACGAAGGCUAGGGGAGCGAUCCGGAUUAGAGACCCGAGUAGUCC
Molecule: ribosomal RNA, 271 nt
Filed under: uncultured archaeon
Lineage: Archaea
Description: partial 16S ribosomal RNA
Rfam family: Archaeal small subunit ribosomal RNA
Source: RNAcentral